Molecule: ribosomal RNA, 507 nt
Filed under: uncultured bacterium
Lineage: Bacteria
Description: partial 16S ribosomal RNA
Rfam family: Bacterial small subunit ribosomal RNA
Source: RNAcentral
GAUGAACGCUAGCUACAGGCUUAACACAUGCAAGUCGAGGGGAACCUCUAGAGAAAGCUUGCUUUUCUUUGCGUCGACCGGCGCACGGGUGAGUAACGCGUAUCCAACCUGCCCAUCACUGGGGGAUAACCUUGCGAAAGUAAGACUAAUACCCAAUGACGUCUCUAGAAGACAUCUGAAAGGGAUUAAAGAUUUAUCGGUGAUGGAUGGGGAUGCGUCUGAUUAGCUUGGUGGCGGGGUAACGGCCCAACAAGGCGACGAUCAGUAGGGGUUCUGAGAGGAAGGUCCCCCACAUUGGAACUGAGACACGGUACAAACUCCUACGGGAGGCAGCAGUGAGGAAUAUUGGUCAAUGGACGAGAGUCUGAACCAGCCAAGUAGCGUGCAGGAUGACGGCCCUAUGGGUUGUAAACUGCUUUUAUAAGGGAAUAAAGUGGGAGUCGUGACUCUUUUUGCAUGUACCUUAUGAAUAAGGACCGGCUAAUUCCGUGCCAGCAGCCGCCGUAA